GUUGCAAUAAACAAUUCUCUCAAACAACAAAUACUGACUUCUUUCCAUCCCUGCAAGCUUCCACUAUUGUUUCUUUUUCAGCUGCAUCUGGAACAUCUUAUCAAGAUAUAUGAGCAAGAAGAGCAGUCAAGUUGCUUGGAAUUCAAAAAUAAGAAGAUUUUUAAAAAGCAGAAAGGACUGUGAGAACACAUAAUCAAUUGGCUCUUAUGGGAAAAUAUCUAUCAUCGUUGCUCAUCAC
RNAcentral lists this long non-coding RNA (238 nucleotides) under Zonotrichia albicollis (white-throated sparrow). RNAcentral describes it as "lncRNA (ENSZALG00000011713.1)". Lineage: Eukaryota; Metazoa; Chordata; Aves; Passeriformes; Passerellidae. The record is from RNAcentral.